RNAcentral lists this ribosomal RNA (254 nucleotides) under uncultured bacterium. Its description in RNAcentral is "partial 16S ribosomal RNA". It matches the Rfam family "Bacterial small subunit ribosomal RNA", at positions 524 to 776 of the family's 1533-position model. The record is from RNAcentral.
UACGUAGGGGCCUAGCGUUGUCCGGAAUUAUUGGGCGUAAAGAGCUCGUAGGCGGUUCGGCAAGUCGGAUGUGAAAUCUCCACGCUUAACGUGGAGGGGCCAUUCGAAACUGCUGUGACUCGAGUCCGGUAGGGGAGUGUGGAAUUCCCGGUGUAGCGGUGAAAUGCGCAGAUAUCGGGAGGAACACCCGUAGCGAAGGCGGCAUCCUGGACCGAGAUUGACGCUGAUGCGCGAAAGCCAGGGGAGCAAACGGG